GUAGGGAAUAUUGGACAAUGGGCGAAAGCCUGAUCCAGCCAUGCCGCGUGAUAGAUGAAGGCCCUCUGGGUUGUAAAUAUCUUUUAUCUGGGAAGAAACUCCUCUAUUCUUAGAGGCCUGACGGUACCAGAGGAAUAAGCACCGGCUAACUCCGUGCCAGCAGCCGCGGUAAUACGGAGGGUGCAAGCGUUAUCCGGAUUCACUGGGUUUAAAGGGUGCGUAGGCGGGUGUAUAAGUCAGUGGUGAAAGCUCCAGGCUUAACUUGGAAAUUGCCAUUGAUACUGUAUAUCUUGAAUGUCGUUGAGGUAAGCGGAAUGUUGCAUGUAGCGGUGAAAUGCUUAGAUAUGUUACAGAACACCAAUUGUGAAGACAGCUUACUAAGCGAUGAUUGACGCUGAGGCACGAAAGCGUGGGGAGCAAACAGGAUUAGAAACCCCGGUAGUCC
Molecule: ribosomal RNA, 445 nt
Filed under: uncultured bacterium
Lineage: Bacteria
Description: bacterial SSU rRNA
Rfam family: Bacterial small subunit ribosomal RNA
Source: RNAcentral